This is a non-coding RNA of Oryzias latipes (Japanese medaka), 430 nucleotides long. NCBI's taxonomy places the organism in Eukaryota, Metazoa, Chordata, Actinopteri, Beloniformes, Adrianichthyidae. The record is from RefSeq and is a predicted model, not a curated record.
UCUUUCAGUGGACGAACUUGUCCAGCAGACUGGGAGACCCUCAACAACCCCCUCGGAAAAAAAAUAACACGAUCAAACUGAUGGAUAGCGGGAGAGUUGCGCUAAAUAUCCAGCAGACAGCCUGGCAGGUGGGCUGGCAGCCAGGCAGAAUAGCAGUAGGCUGGCAGGCGUAGCCCAGGGCAGCAUCUCCUGCAGAGCCAGCUCUGACCAGCUGGUCCAGACCAACGCCACACACCUGCCACAUCCACCUGAGAGUCGAAGGCCGUCUGCUGCUGCCGCCAGCCUCCCCGGUUCAGGUGCUCCUUCCCGGAUCUCCACAACUGGGCACGUGCCUGUUGCUGGGACAUCAACAGGACUGUGCUUAAACCAGAAGUAACGUUACAGUUGUGUUUCCGGUAGACGUUUUCAAAAUAAAAGACUUGACAUCGUU